UAUUUUCAAAGGUUUACCACGAGUAACAAAACAACGUUUGGUCUCUGCGGUUAAAUGUUCAUUUCCAAUCGUCACUCCAACAAAUUAAACUACACUAAAGCAACAGCAACAAGACCUGCUUAGAGGCCGUCAAUAAGCGACAGAAGUUGUCUCAUGCUGAGAAGUACCUGCAGGUCUGUCUGCAUACAGGGGUUGUUCCUGUUUCCUCCUACCUCCACCUGUGUGAAAAGAUCACAACCUGAACCACUAUGGAGUGGGACCUCGGGCGGGGCUAAAGCUCUAGCCACAGCUCUGCUAGUAAGACUGAGAAUACCAUCACCAAUCUUCUGCUGGAGGACAACGAUCUCCAGGGAGAGGAGGGCACAAGGUAUCUAAAGGAUUCCAUUCACACUUAUUUACCCAGUACACUCAAGUAAGACAACAUAAUGUUUGUGUUCAUGUGCAAAAGGAGCAGUGCCCUUCAAGCAACCAGCUUUGUCUUAAAGAAACAAAUAUCAUCUCUGAUAUGCUGUUAAGCAACUACUACAUCAAAUCCUUCAAACUGUCAGGGGACCAACUCAGUCUUACACCUCACAAGCCAUAUGUUAUUUAUACAAACUACUUCCAUUUUUGGAUUAUUAAUCUAAUAAUCCCCCUCCCUCAUCCUCGGAAAUAGUUUUGAUGACUCUGCAGCGAAAUACUUUGGUGAUGCUUUAAAGGCCAGUUCAAAGAAUCAUCAUCAUGAGUCCUUUUUACGAGCUUCUAAACAAUUUUCAUUAACAUGUGCAAAAAGGAACUGACUCACCUGAAUAUGCAUUAAGCGUCUCCUCUCAGGGUGAUUUAACGGCCAUAUUAAAACCUUGAAAUCUGCUUCACAUGUGAGACAAACCUGAAAUAGAGAUAGUGUUUCUGGAGGUGACGCAAAAACAGGCAGAUUUGUUAUAUUUAGUCUUUUUUGGUGUCAUCAGAGGUGCAAAGACACAGGGGAGAAAAGGGCACACACCAGCUUGAGAUCAUCUUAAAUGCAUGUGUAUUGACAUGUCUGACAAUGCCUCUGCUUUAUGUUGGUUUAACUGUGGCCAUCGUGGCUCGUUACUACAUUUGCUAUUGGAGUGUCCUGCUGUUAAGUCCUUGUGGUCAGAUGUGCAUGCCGUCAUGACAGGAAUUUUGCAUACUGUUCUUCCCUUCUCCCCCUCUGUUUGCAUUUUGGGCUACAAGCCCCAGACUAAAACUAGCCCUGCUGUCACACGCCUGUGGCCCCUUGGGUGCCUUAUGGUUAAAAGACUGAUUCUUCCAAACUGGAAGGAGCGAAAGCCAACAUGCUUCAUGAUGGACUCAUGGCUGGAGGACUACCUUGACCUGCUAAAUAUGGAGAGAGCUGCUGGUCUCUUAAAAGACUUUGACCAAGGUCUGAGUGGGCUCUGGGACAUUGUCAGGAGAGGUCUGGGUUAAUAAUUUUGUACUGUAACUAUGUGUGUUCAUGGUCCUCUGCAAGGUGAAUCUUUCUUAUUGUUAUUUACCUGUUGCUGAUAUAACUGCUAGAUGUUUUGUGGCGUAUCUGAACCCACCCAUCAUGAAUUGGUUAUGAAUUUUCAUGUACCCCUCACUAACCCCCCACCAGUGUUAUGUCCAGAGUUGUGGUGUCUCCUAUUAUAUUGUAUUUUUUCUUUCCUAUGUUUGUUUAUGUCUUG
Molecule: long non-coding RNA, 1670 nt
Organism: Notolabrus celidotus (New Zealand spotty)
Lineage: Eukaryota; Metazoa; Chordata; Actinopteri; Labriformes; Labridae
Exons: 3
Source: RefSeq, a predicted model, not a curated record